AUUGAACGCUGGCGUCAGGCCUAACACAUGCAAGUCGAGCGGAUGAAGGGAGCUUGCUCCUGGAUUCAGCGGCGGACGGGUGAGUAAUGCCUAGGAAUCUGCCUGGUAGUGGGGGAUAACGUCCGGAAACGGGCGCUAAUACCGCAUACGUCCUGAGGGAGAAAGUGGGGGAUCUUCGGACCUCACGCUAUCAGAUGAGCCUAGGUCGGAUUAGCUAGUUGGUGGGGUAAAGGCCUACCAAGGCGACGAUCCGUAACUGGUCUGAGAGGAUGAUCAGUCACACUGGAACUGAGACACGGUCCAGACUCCUACGGGAGGCAGCAGUGGGGAAUAUUGGACAAUGGGCGAAAGCCUGAUCCAGCCAUGCCGCGUGUGUGAAGAAGGUCUUCGGAUUGUAAAGCACUUUAAGUUGGGAGGAAGGGCAGUAAGUUAAUACCUUGCUGUUUUGACGUUACCAACAGAAUAAGCACCGGCUAACUUCGUG
RNAcentral lists this ribosomal RNA (484 nucleotides) under uncultured bacterium. RNAcentral's name for it is "partial 16S ribosomal RNA". It matches the Rfam family "Bacterial small subunit ribosomal RNA", at positions 30 to 507 of the family's 1533-position model. The record is from RNAcentral.